CGAAGCCGAGGGACCCUUCGGGGAGCCGCCACAGGUGCUGCACGGCUGUCGUCAGCUCGUGCCGUGAGGUGUUCGGUUAAGUCCGCGAACGAGCGCAACCCCUGCCGCCAGUUACAAGUGUCUGGCGGGACUGCCGGUGACAAACCGGAGGAGGGCGGGGAUGACGUCAAGUCAGCAUGGCCUUGAUGUCCAGGGCGACACACACGCUACAAUGGCUGGUACAAUGGGCAGCGAAGCCGCGAGGUGGAGCGAAUCUCGUAAAGCCAGUCGUAGUUCGGAUUGUAGGCUGCAACUCGCCUGCAUGAAGCCGGAGUUGCUAGUAACCCGUGGGUCAGCCACACUACGGUGAAUACGUUCCCGGGCCUU
Molecule: ribosomal RNA, 366 nt
Filed under: uncultured Anaerolineaceae bacterium
Lineage: Bacteria; Bacillati; Chloroflexota; Anaerolineae; Anaerolineales; Anaerolineaceae
Description: bacterial SSU rRNA
Rfam family: Bacterial small subunit ribosomal RNA
Source: RNAcentral